GGAGUUAGCCGGUGCUUCUUCUGUGAGUGAUGUCCUUCCUGCCGGCUAUUAACCCGCAGGCCUUCUUCCUCACUGAAAGUGCUUUACAACCCGAAGGCCUUCUUCACACACGCGGCAUGGCUGGAUCAGGGUUGCCCCCAUUGUCCAAUAUUCCCCACUGCUGCCUCCCGUAGGAGUCUGGGCCGUGUCUCAGUCCCAGUGUGGCUGAUCAUCCUCUCAGACCAGCUACGGAUCGUCGCCUUGGUGAGCCGUUACCUCACCAACCAGCUAAUCCGACAUAGGCUCAUCCGAUAGCGCGAGGCCCGAAGGUCCCCCGCUUUCCCCCGUAGGGCCGUAUGCGGUAUUAGCCUGGGUUUCCCCAGGUUAUCCCCCACUACCGGGCAGAUUCCUAUGCAUUACUCACCCGUCCGCCGCUCGCCACCAGGGAGCAAGCUCCCCGUGCUGCCGCUCGACUUGCAUGUGUUAGGCCUGCCGCCAGCGUUCAAUCUGAGCCAGGAUCAAACUUGACUCGAGCGGCGUGCGACGCGC
This 528-nucleotide ribosomal RNA is filed under the name uncultured bacterium. Its description in RNAcentral is "partial 16S ribosomal RNA". The record is from RNAcentral.